This 254-nucleotide ribosomal RNA is filed under the name uncultured bacterium. RNAcentral's name for it is "partial 16S ribosomal RNA". It matches the Rfam family "Bacterial small subunit ribosomal RNA", at positions 524 to 776 of the family's 1533-position model. The record is from RNAcentral.
UACGUAGGGUGCGAGCGUUGUCCGGAAUUAUUGGGCGUAAAGAGCUCGUAGGCGGUGUGUCGCGUCGGCCGUGAAAACCUGGGGCUUAACUCUGGGCGUGCGGUCGAUACGGGCAUCACUAGAGUUCGGCAGGGGAGACUGGAAUUCCUGGUGUAGCGGUGAAAUGCGCAGAUAUCAGGAGGAACACCGGUGGCGAAGGCGGGUCUCUGGGCCGAUACUGACGCUGAGGAGCGAAAGCAUGGGUAGCGAACAAG